Molecule: long non-coding RNA, 339 nt
Filed under: Manihot esculenta (cassava)
Lineage: Eukaryota; Viridiplantae; Streptophyta; Magnoliopsida; Malpighiales; Euphorbiaceae
Description: long non-coding RNA (MESC_LNC000553)
Source: RNAcentral
CUUCGUCAUUCCUUCCUCGGAAGACCGGAUAACUUCUGUGGUCUCCCUCAUAUUCUUGUUUCUCCAGCUUUUGGCCUUACUUUUGACCCAUCCUUUUGUCCUCUUGCCAUCCUUCUUGGCACCUUUGGGCAGCCCAUCCUAGCUUCCAACCAGCGCCCUUGAGAACAUCAUCUGAAGGCUUUCCUUCCUUGAACUCAUCUUUCCCUUUGGAUUAUGUUUGGAUUGCCACUUUCUGAGUCCAUGGAAUAUUUUCGGAGACUUCUUCCCUUUCCCUGGGAGCUAUGAGUGAUGUCUCUUCCCGAAUUUUAUAUUGCUCGAAAAUAACUUGCAACGUUCUGG